GCCCAGGUGGUGAAAUUGGUAGACACGCUAGCUUCAGGUGCUAGUGGCCGCAAGGCCGUGGAAGUUCGAGUCUUCUCCUGGGCACCA
This 87-nucleotide transfer RNA is filed under the name Pseudomonas profundi. RNAcentral describes it as "tRNA-Leu". It matches the Rfam family "tRNA". Rfam says of the family: Transfer RNA (tRNA) molecules are approximately 80 nucleotides in length. Their secondary structure includes four short double-helical elements and three loops (D, anti-codon, and T loops). Further hydrogen bonds mediate the characteristic L-shaped molecular structure. tRNAs have two regions of fundamental functional importance: the anti-codon, which is responsible for specific mRNA codon recognition, and the 3' end, to which the tRNAs corresponding amino acid is attached (by aminoacyl-tRNA synthetases). tRNAs cope with the degeneracy of the genetic code in two manners: having more than one tRNA (with a specific anti-codon) for a particular amino acid; and 'wobble' base-pairing, i.e. permitting non-standard base-pairing at the 3rd anti-codon position. Lineage: Bacteria; Pseudomonadati; Pseudomonadota; Gammaproteobacteria; Pseudomonadales; Pseudomonadaceae. RNAcentral also lists the same sequence under 2 other names. The record is from RNAcentral.